AGCAGCCGCCGCGGGAAUACGAAGGGGGCUAGCGUUGCUCGGAAUGACUGGGCGUAAAGGGCGCGUAGGCGGCUUACACAGUCAGAUGUGAAAUUCCUGGGCUCAACCUGGGGACUGCAUUUGAUACUGUCGAUCUUGAGUAUGGGAGAGGUGUGUGGAACUCCGAGUGUAGAGGUGAAAUUCGUAGAUAUUCGGAAGAACACCAGUGGCGAAGGCGACACACUGGCCCAUUACUGACGCUGAGGCUCGAAAGCGUGGGGAGCAAACAGGAUUAGAUACCCCCGUAGUCCCUGUCUCUUAUAC
Molecule: ribosomal RNA, 303 nt
Filed under: uncultured bacterium
Lineage: Bacteria
Description: partial 16S ribosomal RNA
Rfam family: Bacterial small subunit ribosomal RNA
Source: RNAcentral